GUAGGUGGCAAGCGUUGUCCGGAAUUAUUGGGCGUAAAGCGCGCGCAGGCGGUUCUUUAAGUCUGAUGUGAAAGCCCACGGCUCAACCGUGGAGGGUCAUUGGAAACUGGAGAACUUGAGUACAGAAGAGGAAAGCGGAAUUCCACGUGUAGCGGUGAAAUGCGUAGAGAUGUGGAGGAACACCAGUGGUGAAGGCGGCUUUCUGGUCUGUAACUGACGCUGAGGCGCGAAAGCGUGGGGAGCAAACAGGAUUAGAUACCCUGGUAGUCCACGCCGUAAACGAUGAGUGCUAAGUGUUAGGGGGGUUUUCCGCCCCCCUUAGUGCUGCAGCUAACGCAUUAAGCACUCCGCCUGGGAGUACGGCCGCAAGGCUG
Molecule: ribosomal RNA, 374 nt
Filed under: uncultured organism
Description: partial 16S ribosomal RNA
Rfam family: Bacterial small subunit ribosomal RNA
Source: RNAcentral